Molecule: ribosomal RNA, 481 nt
Filed under: uncultured bacterium
Lineage: Bacteria
Description: partial 16S ribosomal RNA
Rfam family: Bacterial small subunit ribosomal RNA
Source: RNAcentral
GAUGAACGCUGGCGGCGUGCUUAACACAUGCAAGUCGAACGAAGCAUUUGCGACAGAUUUUUUCGGAAUGAAGUUGCUUAUGACUGAGUGGCGGACGGGUGAGUAACGCGUGGGUAACCUGCCUUGUACUGGGGGAUAGCAGCUGGAAACGGCUGGUAAUACCGCAUAAGCGCACAAUGUUGCAUGACAUGGUGUGAAAAACUCCGGUGGUAUAAGAUGGACCCGCGUCUGAUUAGCUAGUUGGUGAGAUAACAGCCCACCAAGGCGACGAUCAGUAGCCGACCUGAGAGGGUGACCGGCCACAUUGGGACUGAGACACGGCCCAGACUCCUACGGGAGGCAACAGUGGGGAAUAUUGCACAAUGGAGGAAACUCUGAUGCAGCGACGCCGCGUGAGUGAAGAAGUAAUUCGUUAUGUAAAGCUCUAUCAGCAGGGAAGAUAGUGACGGUACCUGACUAAGAAGCUCCGGCUAAAUACGUG